GGCAUUUUUGUCAUUUCUUGUGCUGAUGACACGUUCACCCUAAUUUGCCGCGUAAAAAGCAUCGCUUCUUACAACUCAAUUCUAUCUCUGCUGCAUUUCUUUACUUUGCUUUUGUUUAGUACCAAGUUCUGUCUUGUUCUUCUUUACCCUCCUUUUGUCCUGUAAGUGUUUGAUAAAAUUCCUCUUAAGCUUUACUGUGUUUUCCUUGCAGUUCUUUGCAGUUGAAAGUUGCUGAAUUUUGCUUGUUUAAUCAAAGUUUUUUCCCUCAUCAAUAAUCUCUCUUUUGAUCUGCAAUUUUAUACAAAGGAGACAAAUGUUUCAAAAGAGUAGAGUUUUUGGAUAUAGCUUUCUGGGAUUAUCCUCAUCGCAGGUCCAUUGUGUAGUUAGGCGUGUUGUAAGCAGCUUUAAUUGUGUACAUCUUGGAUAUUGAGAGCAGUGUUGUCCAAGCCUUAUUUGAGUCGCGCUUAAGCGCUGAAGGUCAAAAACGCUCAGGGAAUGCACUUCGCCUCAUGUAGGUUGCGCUUCACUAUAGGCAAGGCACUAAGGUGUGCGCCUUAUUGCCUAUGUUUGAAUAAAGCGAUGCAAAACAAAUAAAUGUAAUUGGCAAAAAGAAAUCUCAAUUGUUGAAGAAAUCAUUGUGAAUGAAAUUGUCAUUUUUUUUGUAUUACAUAUUUUUUUUUUCUUCUUCGUUGUGCCUUUUUCAACUAAA
Nicotiana tabacum (common tobacco) is the source of this 709-nucleotide non-coding RNA. NCBI's taxonomy places the organism in Eukaryota, Viridiplantae, Streptophyta, Magnoliopsida, Solanales, Solanaceae. The record is from RefSeq and is a predicted model, not a curated record.